Molecule: long non-coding RNA, 2104 nt
Organism: Syngnathus typhle (broad-nosed pipefish)
Lineage: Eukaryota; Metazoa; Chordata; Actinopteri; Syngnathiformes; Syngnathidae
Exons: 3
Source: RefSeq, a predicted model, not a curated record
ACCAGAUGAACCGUUUUAUGCAUGUUUUUUUUUUUUGGGGUGGUCGUGAGUUGAGGCGGAGAGAAGGAGGAGGACGGUCACGGUGGGAGGGAAGAAGUUUUUGAACAUGACUCAUCAUCAGUGAUCAAAUCUGACAUGGCUGCUGAAACCCCUACAACUUCACCUUUGCUGAUCGAUAUGAUCGCAUCAGAGAUGAUCUCCGAGACUCUACUUUGAAGCGUCGGAUCACUUGAAUGGUCAAACAGAGAGGACCCCACGUCUGUUCUCGAACAGUUUACAUACCCCCAUGGUCCGCACAAAGCUGCUUCUGAAUGGCAAGCUGGUAGAUGAAUGGCAGAGGUGAGCAUACACCGAUGGAGGUGAAGCAAAGCGCUGGCAGCCCGUCAGUAGUCGUGAGAGGCUCCUCGCCAUCUUCGACAUGACGAGACGUUGCAUCAAGUUGGGUAACAGUGUUGAUCCGAAAGGAACUUCGGCGUUAAAACGUAGCUUUCUAAAAGCGUCACAAUAAACUGACGGCCGCUAAGUUUAUCGUUAAGAUUUUCUGACACGUUUUCGUCCUGCGAUGAUUAACCAUCGUAAUAGUUUGAUGGAACAUUGACAUUCAAUGAAACUCAACCUUGUCAACUUCCGCUAUGAGGUAACGCAAUUCUUGACGUCAUCAACACGUGAUUUAUCCCUGCACUGUAAUUGGGCGUACUAGUUCCGGUAAUCUUCACCCGUACGCAUGGUAACCAAAAUAAACACUCAACGAGACCACUUUUAUCUUGGUUAUUUUGUUACGUCAGUAUUGUCAUUUAACCAUAAACGUCUCGUUUUUCAUAAAUAAUAUUAAUGUAUUUUUUGGUACUUUGUUUCUUGAAUAAUAAAUAUGUGAAUUGAUAGUGACAGUACAAAAUUUGCUCUAGUUAUUCUAGGGAAGCUAUUCUCAAAACAAUAAACCAAUUGUAUUUUUACGACCUGUUUAUUUUUCUGUCAUGCAAAAAAAAAACGUACAAUCUUGCACAAUCAGAAUGUUGGCUCUUGAGCUGUAUGAAAUAUUUCUCAAUUGAACGUGAACACAAAAGAGGAAUUUGUGUAACCACGCAACUGUACAAAAUGCAGUCCUGGAUGGCUCCCACACAAGUUAACUGUGAGCAUGGGUUGUUUUAGAGUUGUCUUUACUUAGGAGCGUCAAUACCACACAACCUCCUACAAAACAAGAAUGACACAAAGCAAAUAAUGUUAAUGCCAGAUAACAACUUAAACAAGUUUUGGCUCCCAAGGUAUUUUCUCUGCUCACACCAUGUUUUCUCAAACCUUACCGUGCUUCUGCAAAGCUUGGAUCAACAAAAAUGCAAACAGCGUUAUCUCGAUCCAAAAUAUGUUGUUUUACAAUCUGCAUUUCUUCCUCAGCUUUUCUUUUCUCCUUAUCGUGAUCAGCUGAACAAAGGACAAAAAGACAAUAAUGAAGAAUUUGAUGCAUAAUAUUCCUAAACCAUAGAUGAACGGUCAUAAAAACGUUUAGAUAUAAAUGACAGUAGUUGUCACAUUCAACAACAUUUUGAAUACGACGUCAAACACAAUUCUCUACAUACCUUUGAAUUGCUUAUUGGCUUCAAUCACCUCUUUCUUCUUCUUCUCUACACUUAUCUAAAAAAAACAGUUGUAAAAAUAUAUUUAAAUAUAAAUACAUUGUAUGCUGCUAAUGCUUUUUUGUGCAUUCAAAUUUGCAUUAAAUUUUCAAAAGACAGAGUUUUUUUGUGCAGGUGUACCUAACAAAAUGGCGUGUACCAUUGAAAUGAAACGCAGCAACAACAAAAAAAUAAGGGCUAACGAUAAUGUACGUUGUUGUCCCUACCUUCACUUUGCCGCAUGUCACCAAACUUUUUUGAUGCCCCUGCUCUGCAUUUACAGCGGCUGCUUUGCGAUUCUUCAGCACGUCCACCCUGUUCAGGAUGGAAGUCAGGUUCGUGUUCAGCUCCUUGAUUUGUUUUUUUAACAAGGUGAUGACUUUGUCGCCCCUCUUGGAUUCAGCAAUGCGCUCCACCGUGCGGAUUUUUAAAUGGCUCAGGUGCAGCUCCUGGCGUAUAGUCUGAAGGACCAUCAAGGCCAUUAUGGUGAAACU